This 300-nucleotide ribosomal RNA is filed under the name uncultured Bacillus sp. RNAcentral describes it as "bacterial SSU rRNA". It matches the Rfam family "Bacterial small subunit ribosomal RNA", at positions 496 to 795 of the family's 1533-position model. Lineage: Bacteria; Bacillati; Bacillota; Bacilli; Caryophanales; Bacillaceae. The record is from RNAcentral.
GUGAAGUGGUGAGCAGCGGCGGGGGGAAUACGAAGGGGGCUAGGGUGGCUCGGAAGAACUGGGCGUAAAGUGCACGUAGGCGGCUGUUUAAGUCAGGGGGGAAAUCCUGGAGCUCAACUCCAGAACGGCCUUUGAGACUGAGAAGCUUGAGUCCGGGAGAGGUGAGUGGAACUGCGAGUGUAGAGGUGAAAUUCGUAGAUAUUCGCAAGAACACCAGUGGCGAAGGCGGCUCACUGGCCCGGUACUGACGCUGAGGUGCGAAAGCGUGGGGAGCAAACAGGAUUAGAUACCCCGGUAGUC